AAAUUGAAGAGUUUGAUCAUGGCUCAGAUUGAACGCUGGCGGCAGGCCUAACACAUGCAAGUCGAGCGGAAACGAGUUAUCUGAACCUUCGGGGAACGAUAACGGCGUCGAGCGGCGGACGGGUGAGUAAUGCCUAGGAAAUUGCCCUGAUGUGGGGGAUAACCAUUGGAAACGAUGGCUAAUACCGCAUGAUGCCUACGGGCCAAAGAGGGGGACCUUCGGGCCUCUCGCGUCAGGAUAUGCCUAGGUGGGAUUAGCUAGUUGGUGAGGUAAGGGCUCACCAAGGCGACGAUCCCUAGCUGGUCUGAGAGGAUGAUCAGCCACACUGGAACUGAGACACGGUCCAGACUCCUACGGGAGGCAGCAGUGGGGAAUAUUGCACAAUGGGCGCAAGCCUGAUGCAGCCAUGCCGCGUGUGUGAAGAAGGCCUUCGGGUUGUAAAGCACUUUCAGUCGUGAGGAAGGUAGUGUAGUUAAUAGCUGCAUUAUUUGACGUUAGCG
RNAcentral lists this ribosomal RNA (500 nucleotides) under Vibrio parahaemolyticus. RNAcentral's name for it is "bacterial SSU rRNA". It matches the Rfam family "Bacterial small subunit ribosomal RNA", at positions 1 to 480 of the family's 1533-position model. RNAcentral also lists the same sequence under 1 other name. Lineage: Bacteria; Pseudomonadati; Pseudomonadota; Gammaproteobacteria; Vibrionales; Vibrionaceae. The record is from RNAcentral.